This 281-nucleotide small RNA is filed under the name Pan troglodytes (chimpanzee). Its description in RNAcentral is "processed transcript". Lineage: Eukaryota; Metazoa; Chordata; Mammalia; Primates; Hominidae. The record is from RNAcentral.
CUUAAAGAUAUGCCAAGGUAGAUGAAGGAUUUAGAUGUGAAAUAAAUGAAUACAAAGAAGAAAAUGAAAAGUUGCACCUAUCCAAAGGAAAUCAAUUUCAAAUAUUUUGUUUAGAGUGGGAAACUGUGAAAAGCUCAGAACCUGUUAAAGAGACGGUCCAGACAACUCAGAGCCCAACUCCAGUUGAAAAGGAGACAGUGGUCACAACCCAGGCAGAGGUUGCAGUGAGCCAAGAUCACACCACUGUGCUCCAGCCUGGGUAACAGAGCAAUUACUUUGUC